Molecule: ribosomal RNA, 969 nt
Filed under: Triticum aestivum (bread wheat)
Lineage: Eukaryota; Viridiplantae; Streptophyta; Magnoliopsida; Poales; Poaceae
Description: partial small subunit ribosomal RNA
Source: RNAcentral
AUGAUGGCAUGGUUCGCCUCACUGGUCGUUCUUGGCAGCGUCUAUGUAGCCGCCUUGGCGUUCCGCCUCCUUUCGCACCUUACCGUGUGCCUCCGGCGCUGCUAUGGCACGUGGGCCGUCCUCACGGGGCCAACAUCGGGCAUUGGCUGGUCCGUCGCCAUGGAGCUUGCGCGCAGGGGACUGAACCUUGUCCUCGUCGGCCGUGAUCCGGCAAAGCUCCGUGACAUCUCCGAGACGAUAUCCAGGGCCGCUCCCACCGUGCAGACCAAGACUGUACUCUUCGACCUGUCGCUCCUCACCACCGCCCAGGGUGAGGAGGCGAUGCGGCAGCUGCAGCAGACCGUGGAGGAGUUGGACGUUGGACUGCUGGUGAACAACGCGGGCGUGCUGGAGCCCAGCGCGGUGUUCCUGCACGAGGCCGACGUGGAGGCAUGUGUGGAUAUGAUACGGGUGAACCUGCUAGCGCUGACCGAGGUGACGGCGGCAGUGAUUCCCGGCAUGGUGAAUCGCGGGAGGGGAGCUGUGGUCAACUUGGGCUCGGCUUCGUCAGAGGCCAUCCCAUCCUUACCCCUCUACACGAUGUACGCCGCAACUAAACGCUAUGUCGCUCGGUUCUCGAAAUGUCUUCACGUUGAGUAUAGACGCAAAGGAAUCGAUGUGCAAUGCCAGGCACCGUUCUUCGUGGAUGGCACAAUGGCGUCAAGAUUCGCCGAGGCCAGGCGUUUUGUGCCAUUGACGCCAACGCCAGACGCCUACGCCCGCGCGGCAGUGCGCUGGAUCGGACACGGCCCACUAUGCGUGCCCAACUUCCGACACCAGAUAAUGUGGUUCUUUGCGGGAAUUGCGCCUGACUUUUUGCAAGAUGGAAUCCUCCUGCGUGAUCACCUAUGGCAAAGAAAUGAGUUACAGAUAACGAGGUCUUUGCCCGAGGUGUGCCCUAUUAAGCAAGGUGGACAUGCGGCUGCCUGA